RNAcentral lists this ribosomal RNA (462 nucleotides) under uncultured bacterium. RNAcentral's name for it is "partial 16S ribosomal RNA". It matches the Rfam family "Bacterial small subunit ribosomal RNA", at positions 28 to 507 of the family's 1533-position model. The record is from RNAcentral.
GACGAACGCUGGCGGCGUGCUUAACACAUGCAAGUCGAGCGGUAAGGCCUUUCGGGGUCCACGAGCGGCGAACGGGUGAGUAACACGUGGGUGAUCUGCCCUGCACUUCGGGAUAAGCCUGGGAAACUGGGUCUAAUACCGGAUAUGACCUCCUAUCGCAUGGUGGGUGGUGGAAAGAUUUAUCGGUGCAGGAUGGGCCCGCGGCCUAUCAGCUUGUUGGUGGGGUAAUGGCCUACCAAGGCGACGACGGGUAGCCGACCUGGGAGGGGGAGCGGCCACACUGCGCCUGAGACAAGGCCCAGACUCGAACGGGAGGCAGCAGUGGGGAAUAUUGCACAAUGGGCGAGAGCCUGAUGUAGCGACGCCGCGUGAGGGAUGACGGCCUUCGGGUAGUAAACCUCUUUCAGCAGGGACGAAGCGAAAGUGACGGUACCUGCAGAAUAAGCACCGGCUAACUACGUG